This 468-nucleotide ribosomal RNA is filed under the name uncultured bacterium. Its description in RNAcentral is "partial 16S ribosomal RNA". It matches the Rfam family "Bacterial small subunit ribosomal RNA", at positions 28 to 507 of the family's 1533-position model. The record is from RNAcentral.
GACGAACGCUGGCGGCGUGCUUAACACAUGCAAGUCGAACGGAAAGGCCCUGCUUUUGUGGGGUGCUCGAGUGGCGAACGGGUGCGUAACACGUGAGUAACCUGCCCUAGACUUUGGGAUAACUUCAGGAAACUGGGGUUAAUACCGGAUCGGAGCUCCUGUUGCAUGGUGGGGGUUGGAAAGUUUCGGCGGUUGCGGAUGGACGCGCGGCUUACCAGCUUGUUGGUGGGGUAGUGGCUUACCAAGGAUUUGACCGGUAGCCGGCCUGGGAGGGUGACCGGCGACAAUGGGACUGAGAUACGGAGCAGACUGCUACGGGGGGCAGCAGUGGGGAAUAUUGCACAAUGGGCGGAAGCCUGAUGAAGCAACGCCGGGUGCGGGAUGACGGCUUUCGGGGUGUAAACCGCUUUCGCCUGUGACGAAGCGUGAGUGACGGUAAUGGGUGAAGAAGCACCGGCUAACUACGUG